GGAGGCAUGGCUCAAUGGCAACGAGUUCGACUAUCACUUCUAUGAUUUGGGUUCAAUCCCCACUGCCUCCG
This is a non-coding RNA of Caenorhabditis elegans, 71 nucleotides long. Lineage: Eukaryota; Metazoa; Nematoda; Chromadorea; Rhabditida; Rhabditidae. The record is from the annotation of a RefSeq genome assembly.